UAGCGGAGAGAGGUAGCUUGCUCCCGAUCUUAGCGGCGGACGGGUGAGUAAUGCUUAGGAAUCUGCCUAUUAGUGGGGGACGACAUUUCUAAAGGAAUGCUAAUACCGCACACGUCCUACGGGAGAAAGCAGGGGAUCUUCGGACCUUGCGCUAAUAGAUGAGCCUAAGUCGGAUUACCUAGUUGGUGGGGUAAAGGCCUACCAAGGCGACGAUCUGUAGCGGGUCUGAGAGGAUGAUCCGCCACACUGGGACUGAGACACGGCCCAGACUCCUACGGGAGGCAGCAGUGGGGAAUAUUGGACAAUGGGCGCAAGCCUGAUCCAGCCAUGCCGCGUGUGUGAAGAAGGCCUUAUGGUUGUAAAGCACUUUAAGCGAGGAGGAGGCUACUUUAGUUAAUACCUAGAGAUAGUGGACGUUACUCGCAGAAUAAGCACCGGCUAACUCUGUGCCAGCAGCCGCGGUAAUACAGAGGGUGCAAGCGUUAAUCGGAUUUACUGGGCGUAAAGCGCGCGUAGGCGGCUAAUUAAGUCAAAUGUGAAAUCCCCGAGCUUAACUUGGGAAUUGCAUUCGAUACUGGUUAUCUAGAGUGUGGGAGAGGAUGGUAGAAUUCCAAGUGUAGCGGUGAAAUGCGUACAGAUCUGGAGGAAUACCGAUGGCGAAGGCAGCCAUCUGGCCUAACACUGACGCUGAGGUGCGAAAGCAUGGGGAGCAAACAGGAUUAAUACC
Molecule: ribosomal RNA, 727 nt
Filed under: Acinetobacter calcoaceticus
Lineage: Bacteria; Pseudomonadati; Pseudomonadota; Gammaproteobacteria; Moraxellales; Moraxellaceae
Description: bacterial SSU rRNA
Rfam family: Bacterial small subunit ribosomal RNA
Source: RNAcentral